AUGUCUACACAGAGGCUCGGCAGCUGGAAGAUUGUCUCCUUUCAUAGGCAAAGCCUUGCUUGUCACACAGUGGCAUCUCUGUGCAAGGGUAAAUUUGACUCCUCUACUUUGGAAUUAUCCUGUGCUAACAGAAUUCUCAGACUCACAGGGUCCAUCUUCUGCUUUCAUGAUUGUCCCCAAGCCAGAGUGAUGGAGGAUGGAGAGAGAAUGUGGAUUGGUACUAAGGUGUCAUGUGACUGCCUCAGACUGAAUUGUAAAACAUUUUUGGACAGUUUCAUACACGGAGAUGAUGAAGGUUGGAGGAGAGGAUCAGGAAAGAGCUGUUUGUACGAACGAUCUCCUAGUGGACCUCCGGAAGAAGAAAAGGAAGAGUGA
Molecule: long non-coding RNA, 375 nt
Filed under: Mus musculus (house mouse)
Lineage: Eukaryota; Metazoa; Chordata; Mammalia; Rodentia; Muridae
Description: expressed sequence AU023762
Source: RNAcentral